Molecule: RNA transcript, 4360 nt
Organism: Notolabrus celidotus (New Zealand spotty)
Lineage: Eukaryota; Metazoa; Chordata; Actinopteri; Labriformes; Labridae
Gene name: syntaxin-1A-like
Exons: 11
Source: RefSeq, a predicted model, not a curated record
CUGAACCUACUCACUCAAUCGAUAACCAAAUCAGACACUAUCUCUCUAGUCGGUCAGACACUGUUUCCGAGGAGGUACUUUCUCGUCUGCCCGUGAGUCUGACUUUAAAGAAGAAAAAAGAAAACUUAGACAGGAGGUUAGUUUGGAUUAAUAAAGGGGUCGAUGAGUGCGACUUAAGGAGGAAGUUGAGGGUGUGUAAUGGGUUAACGGCGGAAGGCCUCGCCUCACCUUUAGUGCGCGUCAUACGGCUCUGUAAAGUGGUCCCACCAUCCCAGCAUCUAAAUCUACAGGAGGGGACAUCACCACCUCUUGCAGCCGCCAGACGCGCGUAUCAGCUGGGUGCGUCUCUCUCUCCCUGUGCCGGUGUCCGCCCCACAAGCUCCAUCUCACAUCCACGAAACAACGGGAACAGAAGGAAUAAGAGUAAUUUACAGGCACCAUGAAGGACCGGAUGCAAGAACUUAGACAUGGGAAGGAGACGACAGAGGAGGAGGAUGAAGUCGCCGUGGGGAUGGAUAAAGGCUUCAUGGAUGAAUUCUUUGAACAGGUGGAGGAGAUCCGAGGUUUUAUUGAGUCUCUGGCAGAGAAAGUUGAGGAGGUGAAGAGGAAGCACAGCGCCAUCCUCGCCUCACCUAACCCUGAUGAGAAAACAAAGGCUGACCUGGAGGAUCUGAUGGCAGACAUCAAGAAGUUGGCCAACAAAGUACGCUCCAAAUUAAAGAGUAUCCAGCAAACCAUAGAGCACGAAGAAGGCCAGAACAAGUCGUCAGCUGACCUGAGGAUACGCAAGACACAGCACUCCACACUGUCCCGUAAGUUUGUCGAGGUGAUGUCAGAAUACAACACCACCCAGUCUGACUACAGGGAGCGCUGCAAGGGACGCAUUCAGAGACAGCUGGAGAUCACUGGUAGAAACACAACAAAUGACGAGCUGGAGAGCAUGUUGGAGAGUGACAACCCAGCUAUCUUUACUUCGGGGAUCAUUAUGGACAACAUCACAGAGCAAGCUAUGAAUGAGAUCGAGACGCGGCACAACGAGAUCAUCAAGCUGGAAAACAGCAUCAGAGAGCUUCAUGACAUGUUCAUGGACAUGGCCAUGCUGGUGGAAAGCCAGCUCUAGAGCACAGAGAAGAGCACUCUUCAUUCAAUGAAGGAAGGGUGCCCUGGUGAACAACAUAGAGCACAGUGUGCAGGAAGCUCAGGAACACGUCGAUGAAGCGAAGGAGACCAUCCCAAAAUGCAAAAAGUUUAAAAAGACCGGCAGACGGAAGGUGAUCCUGAUAGGAGGUUGUGUAGCAGUGUGUCUAACUAUCCUCGUUAUAGCUCUCUCUGUUGGACUCAGUUAGGGUUUCAAUAAAUUCCUCUACAGCACAAGGAGCGUCCUCGGGUCCAUUUCAGCACUGAAAUUGUACUAUACCCUUAAAAUUAAAAUUUUGAGAAUAUAUUUUUCUAAACAAAACAGUUGAAUUUAUUUCAGGAACUAACUUGUAUAUGUGUCUGAUUAUGUUGUGAUGUACCUUAAUAUUGAUGUGCUUGUUCUGCAGCCUGUUGUAGUGCUCUGCAUGUGUUUAUGCAUACAUUGAUGAUAAAAAGAAAUGUGUGUUGAAUUAGAUAGAAAACAUGUUUUGAAGAACACAUUCCUCUGCAAAGAGUUAAUUCCUUCACAGUCAGUCUCUAACAUAUACGAUGUAUUUAAAACUGAGAUACCCAGUAAUAUAAAAUUAGUUUCACCUAAACUUUGCCAAAUUUUUAACUGAAAAGGAACAUCUAAGGAAUAAAUAUAUUGCACUUUUACUAAUAUGUAUACUGAUCAGCCAUAACAUUAUCACGCAUGCUUAAUAUUGUGUAGCCCCCCCUCUCAAGGUCAAGGCCAAAACAAUCCUGACCUGAUAAGAACUCCACUAAACCUCUGAGGUGUGGUGUGGUAUCUGGCACCAAGACCGUAGCAUCAGAUCCUUUAAGUCCUUUAAGUUGUGAGGUUGAGCCUUUAUGGGUUAGACUUCAAGCAUGAACAACUCGAUUGAGAUCUGGAGAUUAUAUAGACUUACUCAACAUCUUACCGAAUUUCCCUCCCCGAGAUAAAUAAAGUAUUUCUGAUUCUGAUUCUGAUUCUGAUUCUGGUUCUGAACUCCCUAUUGUUUUCCUCCAGGCUGCCUUCUCCCAUUGCAUUUGAUAUUCAUAUGCUCAUUGUAGGCGUUGGAAAGGGGUCAGCAUGGGCACCCUGACUGGUCUGAAGCUACCUCUAAUGCACUGUGUGUUCUAGCACCUUUAUAUUGGAGUUAGCAUUAACCUUUUCAGCUAUUCAAGCUCCAAUAGCUCUGUUGGACCAACCUUUGCUCCCCACACUGAGCCUUGGCUUCCCAUGCCAUAAAAGCACAAGAUAAGACUUAACAGAAAAUGCGUCACUUUGUGUAAUGUGUCACCUUGUGUUUUCUAUGGCAUAUAUUUGCACACACAAGUCAAAGAGAAUUGUCUGACUUUUGCUUUCAAAAAGUUGACAAUAAAGUUAUCUUUACCUUUAUGACCCUGUUGGCAGUUUUCCUUCAUUGGAGAACUUUUGGGAGGUUGUUAUAUGUCACAGUUUCCUGCUUCAACUGCAAGUAAAAAAUGUUCACAUAUUCACCCUGCUAUCAUGUGCCAGUGUUAUAAGAAAAUCAAUGAUAUUCACUUCACCUUCCAGUGGGCAUAAUGUUACGGCUAAUUGGUAUAGGUAUGUUCAAUUAAGUUAAACUUAUUUCAAGAGGAGGCUACACGUGGACAGAUUUUAGAAGAAAACCUUUUUGAUGUUGCCAUGAAAUAGCACCAAAAUUGAAGCUUCAUAUAAUUUCCACAGUGACGUCAAUAUACAAUUCAGAUUUGUGGCAUUUAUUGUUGAAUUUGUUUUGAACAAAGUGCGGGAAACAAAAAUCUUACUCCAUUAAAAUCCUCGCUGACAUAAAAGUGACACUCUCCACACUGUUUUGUGUUUUGCUACUUGUGUGUGUGUGUGUGUGUGUGUGUGUAUUGUGUCACACAGUAAAACUAAUAUGUCUAACAUGUUUUCCUCUGCUUUCUAUGCUGCCUUGGAUAUCUGUAGAAGAAAAUUAUGAUCAUUAUAUGCUGUGUGAUUCUGGGCGUUGUUGUUGCUUCCAUCGUUGGGGGAACACUGGCCUAAACCUCAACCACAGUCACAAUAACAAACACAGCCACACACACAACAGAUUUACAUUUUCAGUGUCCUGUUUUCAUGGAUGCAAUCUAUUAAAUGUUAGCACAAGGUGUGCCGCAUACUGUACGACACAAUUUACACUCAGUGUACCGGGCCAGAGGUGUUUCCGCAUGAGUUGCUAUUUUGUAAAUGUGUGGUGCUGCAAACUGUUUAUCUGAGUGUUGAGUAUUGUCAACGGUAUGAUAUUCCUAAAAGUGGAUUCUUGAAAGACAAAGAUGCUAAACGAUAUGUAACACUAUACUAAUACAUUCCAACUUCCAAAUAUGACGCUUAUUCUGCUGUAAUGUCUAUUUUGUGUAGUACAGGCAAAGUGACGGGCUGCUAAUCUGCUGUGAUAUAAAAAGCCACGUUAUCUAGAGAAUUGUUUAUUCUUCACUUUAUCUUUUUACUUUCUCUCUCUGAUGUCCUCUACCUCCUUUCAAAAGUUCUGCAUGAUUUUGUUUGCUGUAAAAAGGUAGUGUUAAUUUCUGUUGCAAGGGGGGGAAAGACAUUAUUUCCAGUUGGUUUAUAGAGUAAUCACAACUGCCAAUCAUCUCCCGUAAACUACAUCCGCAAUGCCACAGUACUUCACUUUAUCUGGCCUUACCAGUUGUGCAGCAUUUCUGAUCUUUGCUCCAGUGUUGGGUGAAUGUGUGCAUGCAGUAGUGUGUUUACUCGUAGCCACAUGUUUGAAUGUGAAUGAGUCGUGAGAUGAGAACAUGAGUGCUUUAUAGCCACCUGUGUCUUUGUUUUGUAUAAAGUGUAAACUGAUAUAAAGCUCUCUAACACUGCCAGUAUGUUCAAAUCAGAUGUUCUAAUGGAGUCUAGUCUGGUUGGAUUGAUUAUAUAGGUCUGUAAGUGACAAACUCUUGUUUUCUGUCUUUUUCUAAGCUUUAAACAGAGUGUACUUUUGUGUCAUGCUACUUUUAUGUUUUAUUUUUUUAAUUAAGAGUGAACUUGAAGAGUCAGUGAAAGCAUGAACUCAUGUAGCCCUCUAACAGACUCUCAUAUUCAUUAUCUGACAACACGUCAGACAUGCACAAACUGCAACCAUGUUACCAUGUCGCCUACUCAAAUUGUUGCCUUUGUGUUGUAAUGUGAUGACACUGUUUUAUAAGUCUGAUUUCACUUUGUUUCUGUUUUGCUUUUUCAAGUAAAGUUUGUCUGAAAAAG